RNAcentral lists this ribosomal RNA (403 nucleotides) under uncultured bacterium. RNAcentral describes it as "bacterial SSU rRNA". It matches the Rfam family "Bacterial small subunit ribosomal RNA", at positions 355 to 775 of the family's 1533-position model. The record is from RNAcentral.
UGGGGAAUAUUGGACAAUGGGGGCAACCCUGAUCCAGCCAUGCCGCGUGAGUGAUGAAGGCCUUCGGGUUGUAAAGCUCUUUUGGCGGGGACGAUGAUGACGGUACCCGCAGAAUAAGCCCCGGCUAACUUCGUGCCAGCAGCCGCGGUAAGACGAAGGGGGCUAACGUUGUUCGAAAUUACUGGGCGUAAAGCGAGUGUAGGUGGUUGUCCAAGUUGGAUGUGAAAGCCUUGAGCUCAACUCAAGAAAUGCAUUCAGGACUGGAUGACUAGAGGACCGGAGAGGAUAGUGGAAUUCCCAGUGUAGUGGUGAAAUACGUAGAGAUUGGGAAGAACACCAGUGGCGAAGGCGGCUAUCUGGACGGUUUCUGACACUAAGACUCGAAAGCGUGGGGAGCAAACAG